GACGAACGCUGGCGGCGUGCUUAACACAUGCAAGUCGAACGGAAAGGCGCUGCUCUUGUGGCUUGCUCGAUUGGCGAACGGGUGAGUAACACGUGAGUAACCUGCCCUUGACUUUGGGAUAACUUCAGGAAACUGGGGCGAAUAUCGGAUAGGAUCUCCUGCUGCAUGUUGGUGGUUGGAAAGUGUCGGCUGUGGGGGAUGGACUCGCGGCUUAUGAGCUGGUUGGGGGGGUAGUGGCUUACCAAGGCUUUGACGGGUAGCCGGCCUGAGAGGGUUACCGGCCACAUUGGGACUGAGAUACGGCCCAGAAUGCUACGGGAGGCAGCAGUGGGGAAUAUUGCAGAAUGGGCGGAAGCCUGAUGCAGAGACGCCGCGUGCGGGAUGCCGGCCUUCGAGUUGUAAACCGAUUUCGCAUGUGACGAGGCGUGAGUGACGGUAAUGGGUCAAGAAGCACCGGCUAACUACGUG
RNAcentral lists this ribosomal RNA (468 nucleotides) under uncultured bacterium. RNAcentral describes it as "partial 16S ribosomal RNA". It matches the Rfam family "Bacterial small subunit ribosomal RNA", at positions 28 to 507 of the family's 1533-position model. The record is from RNAcentral.